Long non-coding RNA from Acinonyx jubatus (cheetah), 4330 nucleotides. RefSeq lists it as uncharacterized. The transcript has 4 exons. Lineage: Eukaryota; Metazoa; Chordata; Mammalia; Carnivora; Felidae. The record is from RefSeq and is a predicted model, not a curated record.
GGAGUGAUCGAAGAGAUCAACGAUGGUAGGAGCAGUUGUGUGCUGCCAACCGUAGAGGUCUCACCUGUCUCCAGAAACCUAGCUGAACAGUUUUGUUUCCUGUUCCCAUAUCAAAGAUGACUGUAUCAUCCUUCCACGUGAGAGGACGUGCAAGUAGGAAAUGUUCAGCAUGUUAUUUGCAUCACCUCAUGGAGUUCCUGUUCAUGGUGCAGACUUUGUGAACAAAUCCCACAGGACCCUCAAUCUGUCCAGGUGUCAGGCUGACUGCAGUGAUGAAGAAUGGUAUUGCAGGUCCCGUCUGAAGAUAGCAAGCCCUCACAGUGAUGAAAAAUCUCCAUAGACAUUCUAUCGUUUUAUUUCAAAGCAGGGGAGACGAAUCUGUGUGUAGCAGAGAAACAUCGAUUUUAAUGUCCAGUUUCAAGAGAUUGUCAAUUAACAAAUAGAAACAUUUGUUUUGAAAGCUGUAAGUCACAGUUUUCCUCUGCACAUGGGACAAGUCCCAUGCGUGUGACAACACCCGGAUGCCGUGAUAGUAGGUCUCAGUCCAUUUAUGCUGCCAUAACCAAAUGCCACGGACUGGGUGGCGCCUACACCACAGAAGUUCAUUGCUCACAGCUCUGGAGGCUGGAAGGUCCGCUCUCAGGGCAUCAGCACGGCUGGGUUCUGGCGAAGACCCUCCUCCGGGCUGCAGGUUGCAGACUCCUUGCCGUGUCCUCCCGCGGUGGAAGGGACACGCUAGCUCGCUGUGUUGCCGCAAAAGGCAGAACCUUCGUGAUCUAACCAAACCCCCCAGAGCCCCAUCACCUUUGGGGUUAGAAUUCCCACAGAAGAGUUUUGGGGAGACGCGAAUAUUUGGACCCUAGCAAAAUGUGAGGGUGAACAAGAGCCGGAGGGGUGACUCGGCCCGUCAUUCUGUAAGAGGAACCAUUGCACAAGCCCUAGGUUCACGGCCUUGAAGGCCUGCAGGGCGCCACACAGGACCUUGGUGAGAGAGAAGGUCCGUGUCAUUGAGUCUGCUCCCAAUGAGAAGGCUGAUCCUGUGAGGUCCUAAUAGCAAUGAAAAAAAAAAAUUCUAGAGGCUAAUUGACUCCUAUGAGUUCGAGGUUCCUUCUACCCCAGAAGUUGGCAGACUUUUUCUCUAAAGGGUCAGAUGGAAAAUAUUUUAGUCUUUGUGGGUCAUUUAGUACCUUUUGCGACAACUCGACUCUCCCAUUAGAGCGCAAAAGCCAAAAAGUGAAUGAACGUGACUGUUUCAACGGAACAGAGAUCAUACCCUAAACGUAUUUUUUCUAGCCUUUCUUAUGCCUGUACUUCUGGGCACUGGGAUUUGAACUUCACGGAAUUUGCCUACGUCAAGAAAUACUCUUCUUCUUGUGAUUUCUUAAAAUUGCUAACCACUCUUAGCUCAUGAGGCAUACCAAAGGUGUGUCAACCUUGGCUGAAACCGUGCUCCUCACCAUGUGGUCCACAGACCUGUGGCUUCACCCGGAGGCGCAUCAGGAAUGCUGACUCUCAGGCUCCGUUGCAAACAUGCUCUGUCAGAACUAGAAGACUAAAUAUCAGGAAGGCAGAGACCUCGUCUGCUCUAGAUGUAGACCCAACACAGUGCCUUAUACACAGUAGCUUCUCAGACAAAUAUUUAUUAAAAGAAUGCCUCCAGGAGUUUGUUCAGGCUCCCCCAUUAUAAACAAGUAAAUCUUCUGGGAAUACGUGCUCGAAGGGUUAAAAUGAACUUCUGUCAUCAGUCAGAAGUUUUUGCUUGUUGAAGGGCUAGAAAUACAUGUCCCCCUUAGCCUCACAGUAUAUCCUUCUCCAGGAUGACUUAACCAUGAUGGAGUUUUGCCACAUACACAACAGAAGAGUAAACUUACAUGAACUAAGAGGCUGGACGUUCAGCAAAAUUAAUACACUGGAUACAAAUCAAGAGGCAAAUAGAUUUUGUGGGUUAUGUUGAAACCGUGGUAAACAUGACGCAGAAGACAGGCAAGAAAAAAAAUAUGUGUAGAGUAUGAUCUCUUGAACCAAGCACGGAGAUAGAACAGAUCUCCCCAAGGAAGUCUAAAAAAUCUCUAAGCCUCCUCAACCCAGCCUCCUGGGUACUGACUGUUCUUGUUCUGACACAGCUCUUGGGGAGAAUACCCUUUUUCGGGGAAAAGAAGGCUUUUGAGGAACAACACAGAAGAGUGAUGGAGUGUCAUCAAGGCUGGCUUCGUCGGUUGGGAUCUGAGUCAGAAAGGAAAGGCAAGUGGAAAGGUGAAUUAUGACCAUUUCAGUGUCUACUCAGUGAAGUGUCUAAUAUUACCGUGCAAUACUACACGAGGAUCGGUACCUAAAUGAAAAGAAAAAAAGGGAGAGCUUAAUUUCCCAGGACCGAUGUGAGAGCUGGAGAAAGAGCAAGGAGGAGGCCGGCCGGGAACACUAAGAAAUGCCGAGAAUCCAGCAGGGCCGUGGGCCCCUGCAGAACCAUGAGUCCCCACCGUGACCCUGCUCCCGUGGGGGAUGGGCUGACAGGCCGGCAGCACGUGGCCACAGGCUCCUCCCCACACACCGUGUGGUGGCCACAGUGCCACAGGCCUCACGUAUCAGGAAAUGAUGAACAAGACACCCCCACAAACCGGAGCCCCCACCUCCUCAGAUAAAAGAAUUUUAAGGAAGCUUUUACUUGGACUUACAAUAAAUUGUCUUGUUUUCUGGAAGGCCUGCGGUCUUGCUUAUUUCUUGGCCAGUGUGCACGUUGACCAGUGGGAGAAACGCAGGGGAGGGAAAUGAUCUCAGGCCCAGGGGGGCACAGCUUACAGGGAUGGCCCCAGACCUCUCCCUUCAAGGCGUGGCACCAUUUUUGUUUGGCGUCACUUCUGGGUUUGGGUGUUGGACACUUUCUUCCUUCAAACCUCACGUACCAGUGGCUGAUUUGCAAAUCUGCAGCAUAAAUUCAAGACACUCUCCAGUUGCUUUCCUAGUAAAUCGUAUUGUAUGAUAGCAAAUAUGAAAGAAAUCCUGCUAAAUGGCUUCUCAUUACUAUAGUAAUAGUCCGAAAGGGAUUAUAAUAGCACCGGAGCUCAGGUCUUUAAAGUCAUGGGUAACUUCUGUCGUAAGAUUGGAUGAAUACAUCUAUGUGGCUUUAACCUUAUUAUUUCUCAUUUUAGCCAAUUUUCCAAAAUAACCUGAUAUGAAUAACAAACUCUGACACUGAGAUAGUUUAAGGGAUUUAUGCGGCAACACGAACUAGACUAGCAUUCACAUCAUCUGGGAGGGUUUCAGAAGGAGAAGACAGAGAAGAGGGGGCAGAAAAGUUACUUGAAGAAAUCAAAGCUAAAAAUUUCCCUAACCUGGGGAAGAAAACAGACAGCUAAGACCCGGAAGCCCAGAGAAUUCCCUAUAAAAUGAACCUAAAAGAGAUCCACAUGAGCCAAUAGUAACUCAGAAUGGAUUAAAGGCUUGAAUGUACGACCUCAAAUCCUAAGCCUCCUGAAAGGAAACAGGUGGUAAGCUCAUUGGCAUGGGUCUUGAUCCUUUUUUUUUGGAUCUGACUCCAAAAUUAAAAGCAACAAAAGCAAAAAUAAAGAGGUUAGAGGACAUCAAAUUAAAAAGCUUCUGCACGACAAAGGGAACAUAAUGGGAUAUUUGCAAGUCCUAUAUCUGAUAAGGGGUUCAUACACAAAAUAUAUAAAGAAAUCAUAGAAGUCAACAGCAAAAACAAAACAAUCUAAUUAAAAAAUGGCCAGAGGGUCCGAAUAGCUUUUUUUCCCCAAAGAUGACCUACAGAUCGCCAAUCGGCACAUGAAAAAAUAGCACCGUUAACCAUCAGGGAAAUGCACAUCAAAGCCACAAGAUUACCACCUCACGCCUGUGACAAUGGCUAUUGCCAAAAAGACAAGAAACAACAAGAAGUGGGAAAGAUGGAGGGGAAAAGGAACCCUUGUGUCUCGGUGGGCGUGUAAAUUGGUGCAGGUACUGCGGAAAGCAGGAUGGAGUUCCUCACAAAACUGCAAAUGGAACUCGCAUGUUGUCGACCAAUAGCAAUUCUGGGAAAAGAGCCAAAGGACGUGAAAAUACGAGUUCAACAAGAUAUGUGCACCCUCGCAUCCACAGCAGCAUUACGGACAGUGGGUGAGAUCCGGAAACACCUGGGUGUCCAUCGAUGGGUGAACAGACAGAGGAAAUGCAUAUACGUACACUAUGACGUCCUACUCAGCCAGAAGAGUGAAACCUUGACAUUUGGGACAACGUGGCUAGAACAUGAGGGCAGUGUCCUGAGUAAAAUAAGUUGGAGAAAGACACAGACCGUAUGUUCUCACUUACUUGUGGAAUCUACACAAACAAAGCAAAC